Molecule: long non-coding RNA, 1624 nt
Filed under: Homo sapiens (human)
Lineage: Eukaryota; Metazoa; Chordata; Mammalia; Primates; Hominidae
Description: long non-coding RNA NONHSAT004205.2
Source: RNAcentral
CGAGCGCGAGCCUGGAGGAGGGGGAGGAGAAGGGGCGGAGCAGUCGGUGGGCGCGGCGGCUGCUGGAGGCUAGCGCGACCCGACUCUUAAGUUUUCUUUUCCUCUCCAGAGGGGCCGAUUAGGGAGAGAGACCAGAAAUGAGUGGAAUGCUAUCUUAAGCCAAAAAAAACUAUUAUAAUUUUUAUUUAGUACUACUUAAAUGAAGAAAGAUAAAAAAAGAAACAAAAUUCCAAUUGAUAAUUAUCCCAUUCAGACAUUAGUGAAUAUGUCACUCAAUCCAAGUCGACCUUCCUCAUCAGAGUUGGUGGAACUUCAUGUUUUUUAUGUCCCUGAAGGAUCAUGGAACUAUAAGCUAAAUACCAUUUCAACAGAAGUUGUUAACAAAUUCAUUUCAGCUGGAUUUCUAAGAGUAUCUCCUCAACUUACUUUACGAGCCCUGAGGGAGCGUCUUGGUGAGUUCCUGGGUGAAGAUGCUAUUGCAGAAAAAUUUUUAUUUCUGAAAUGCAUUGGAAAUAAUUUAGCUGUGGUGAAGGAAAAGCAAGAAUCAGAACUGAAACUCAAAUCAUUUGCUCCUCCAUAUGCUCUUCAACCAGAAUUAUAUUUGCUUCCUGUAAUGGACCAUUUAGGAAAUGUUUAUUCACCAUCAACAGUUAUUUUAGAUGAGCGGCAGACUAAUAAUGGUGUUAAUGAGGCUGAUGGAACAAUCCACAGACCAAUUAGUGUAACUUUGUUCAAGGAGGAACUUGGAAGAGAUCCCAGUUUGUUAGAAAACACUUUGAAAGAGCUUCCUAACAAGAAUCAGGAAGAAGGUGAUUUUAAACUGGAAUGGGAAAAAGAAAGAGGCUAUUAUAGUACAUUUUAGCAGUCAAGUCUGUAAGCAAACCCUGAGCAAACCUAGCCUUACAAAUAUAGGCAGUUUAAAAAGAAAGCUACAAUUCCACUUGGGGAUUUCUAAAAAAAUAUUUUUGCCAGAUGGGAGGAAAAGAAAACAAUUUAAGUACUAUGUUAAAAUAAAAACAAAAUCAAAAUAGUUACAGCACUUAAAUGAACAUUACCACCUUUACUUCUUUUUUAAUAAAAUAGUUUUAGAUAAAAGUAAAGCUACAGGGGAAGAGAAAGGAAAGGUGACUGCAUAAAACUUUGGUAUUACUCAGAGACCAGAGGGAUCAGGAAAACAGUAUCAAACCAAGACAGACAACAACAACAAAAAAACUUUAAUGUUGGGGAACAUACGUAUUUCAGAGAAUUUUAAAUUUUUUAUCUGAUUACACCUAUCAAUUUACUAAUAAUUACUAAUAACUCAAUUCUUCAAAAGUGAUAGGGGCCAGGAGUGGUGGCUUAUAUCUGUAAUAAGCAUUUUAGGAGGCCAAGGUGGGUGGAUCAUUUGAGCCCAGGAGUUUGAGACCAGCUUGGGCAACAUGGCAAGACCCUGUCUCUACGAAAAAACACAAAAGUUAGCCAGGUCUGGUGGCACAUGCCUGUAGUCCCAGCUACUCAGGAGACUGAAGCAGGAGGAUUGCUUGAGCCAGGGACGGGGAGGUUGCAGUGAGCUGAGAUGGCACCAUCACCCUCCAGUCUGGGUGACAGAGCGAGACUUUGUCUCAAAAAAAAAAAAAAAAAAAAA